UCGCGUCUGGACGUCUAGAGGUGGAGGUUGUGGAUCUGCUCUCUGAGAGUAGAAACGAAAAACCUCUCUUCGUCCAUCAGCUUUGAGAGGAAGGCGUCUGUUGGGCCUUUCUCUCCGUCUUGAGCGAGGCGUUGACGGCUUGCGCCAGUCUCGGGAAGGAGUUGUUUUUCUGAAGAGCGGGAAAGCUAAAGACGCAGGUGAAGAUGUCCAGCUACGUGAACGACAUGUGGCCGGGGUCGCCGCAGCAUUCCCCUUUGAUGUCCGGGUCGGGCGAGUCCAGCUGGCCGUCGUCGCGGUCGAGGAGCCGCUCUUUCGGAAGCUCUCGGUCCUAUUCCCGCGUCUCCAGUCGGUCGUCGUCCAGGAGUCGGAACCGGCCCCGGAGAAGGAGCAGGUCCAGGUCCCGUUCCCGAAGGCGCCGCCAGCGGAAGUACAGGCGCUACUCGAGGUCUUACUCGCGGAGCCGGUCGCGGUCCCGUAGCCGCCGGUGCCGAGAGCGGCGCUAUGGGCCGUCCAGGGGAUGCUACCGGUCUCCUUCGCGGUACUGGUCGCGGAGCCGGUCGCGCUCUCGGGGAAGGUCGUACUACGGAAGCUCCUGCGCGCUCACGCGGGGGCGGCGCCACUACGGCUUUGGGCGCACGGUGUCCCCGCAAGAAUACAGGUGGAGGGAGAGACCCAGGACGAGGUCUCGGAGCAGAACUCCUUUCCGCUUAAGUGAAAAAGAUCGAAUGGAGCUGUUAGAAAUAGCAAAAGCCAAUGCAGCAAAAGCUUUAGGAACAACCAACAUUGCUUUGCCAGCUAGUCUCGGAACUGUAGCUUUACCUAAAGAAACAAACCAUGGAACAGCUGUACCGACUUCUGGUCCUAAAUUGAGGAAAUCAUGAAUGUGGUCUCCAGACAUUGAUGAAGAAAAUCUGUUGAUGUUUUGAGAGAUUACAGAAGAGGAGGCCUGCUUCACUUGCAGAUAAGUUUAUUAUAAUUCUCCAGAAACGUGCAGGUUGUGCGUUGGCAAAUCGCACUGUACUUUUAAUUGUGUGAAAUCUAAAGGUUAAAAUUCAUAGCUUUGAAAAAAAAAUUCAUGGCUUUGAAGGUUUAAAGUUAUUAGAAAUUGACAAAAAUCAGCACAGUAAAGAUAUCUGUCCUAUCUAAAUGCUGUGGUCCCCAACCCUUGGGCCUCACAGCAGGAGGUGAGCAGCAAGUGAGCCUUCAACUGUAAGCUAGCCUUCUUUAUUGACAGCCACUUCCCAUCCCCCACAUCCUGUCUGUGGAUAAAUUUUCAUUCAUGAAACUGGUCCCUGGUGCCAAAAAGGUUGGGGACCACUAUAAGUGAACCUGUCAUUGGGACCCAGUUGUAUGUUAUGUUAGUAGACAAAUAAGACCUUAGUUUGAGUUGUUUGUUCAAAUGAUUAGGUAUCCAGCUGGCAAAUAGCUUAAUUCCUUGAAACUAGGUAUUUUCUGGUAUGACUUCAAGUUACUUGAAUUUGCAGCAGGGGAAUAAAAUAAUUAUGGGAAGAAUAUCUUAAACCUAUUAUUAAAUCAGUUUUGUUAAGGGGAAAACUCAAGAGUUCUGUGUUGUUUAAGCUGUUAACUAUAUGCUUAGAUGGAAUUCGAUUUGUGUCUACUACUAAAUUUAUAUACAUUUGAGCUGCUUUUUAUACGGUACUUAGAAGCCAAGGGUAUGUUUUUUAAAGUUAUACUUUCUCUUACCUGUCUAGCUGUCAGAACUGUCAGAAGAGCUAACAGAAGAUGGAACUAAAAAUCCUGGUGGAAAAUCUUCCCAGCAAAGAAGCAUAGUUUUUAGCUCUAAUAAUUCUGUAGCAAAGCCAGUACAGAAAUCGGCUAAAGCUGCUGCUGAAGAGACAACUUCAGGAUCACCAAAAAUAAAUCAGAAAAAAAGUCCAUAUGGACUGUGGAGACCUGUGUAAAAGAAGAAAACUAAUGGCUAAGUUUGUGUGAAACUGCACUUUAUUUCAAAUUUGUGUUUCUAGCAUUAUCCCAUUUCAUUGAGACAUUUAGUGGUAAUUAUUGCAAUUAAAAACCAACACAAAAAGAUGUAAAUACUUAAUAUUCAAAUGUUAACAUUUUAGGUUUCUCUUGCAGACAAGAGAUAGCACAAAUGGACCAAAGGUUACAUACAGGGUGGGA
This is an RNA transcript of Propithecus coquereli (Coquerel's sifaka), 2142 nucleotides long. It is a transcript of the gene named arginine/serine-rich protein 1, with no coding region annotated. NCBI's taxonomy places the organism in Eukaryota, Metazoa, Chordata, Mammalia, Primates, Indriidae. The record is from RefSeq and is a predicted model, not a curated record. The transcript is spliced from 6 exons.